This is a long non-coding RNA of Belonocnema kinseyi, 1656 nucleotides long. RefSeq lists it as uncharacterized. NCBI's taxonomy places the organism in Eukaryota, Metazoa, Arthropoda, Insecta, Hymenoptera, Cynipidae. The record is from RefSeq and is a predicted model, not a curated record. The transcript has 5 exons.
UGGAAAUGCUUGCUGUUUUUUCGAAGUGGAAAUGAACGGAUGAUACCGUACAACAGUGAACCUGCAGAUCAUCAGUCAAAGCGAUAAGAUUGUGACAAAUUUGAAAAAAAGUAGAGAAAAAACGACAGUGAAUCGCGAAUGUGUAUCUCAACGAUUCAAUUUUAAAUGCUACAUUUGCUUGUAUCGCGGACGUUUGCAAUUGAAAAUUAAGUGACCACAAAGCUGAACAAUUCUGAGUGAUAUACCGGCGCCUGGAGAAAUUUCAUCAUUUGGAUUCGGGCAAGUUUCUGUACGAGAAUCAAAAUAGCCUUGCAACGAAGGCGUAGUUCGCUGCGCCUGAACAGUUCCCACAAUGUGGGAUAUGUCGAUUCGUGCUUACUAUUACGGUUCUCACAGGGAUUGACUUUUCGCAUCGCACUUAGGCUUUAAGGUCAGACUUACGUAAGAAAUCUUGAUACCUGGGUAAAUUUUCACCCCGCUGCUUCACCUAUUUGUUAUGGUAUCAACAUUCGAAUAAUUGGUAAUAUUUCUAUCAAUUUUCCGAUAUAGCAUCUUAGGAAAAGGCAUAGAAAGAAAGGCUGUAAGAAAAGAUAUCUCGACUGAAAACUAUAAGAAAAUCAUGGAUGUGAAUGUUAUUGCCAAAGCUAUUUGUAAACGAGGAGCUAAUAAAAUUAUACGAGGAAAUAAUACACUAGGACAUAUUACCAACAUUAGCAGAUUUCAGGAAAAUCUUCGGCUACAGGAAAAGGCUAUUUUUUCAUUUAUAUGCUUCCAGGAAAUUUGCUUUAACUUUCAAGACUCAAGUCACUGAACCAGAAAAAACAGUCUAAACAUUAAGUAAUGAAGACUGCAUGGAAUAUACGUCAAGGGACAAGCUGAAAUUCUGAAUUUGACCAAAGAUCCCUGACAAAGGAGAUUAAUAUUCGGAUCUUCGCUAGAUGACAAGUGAAGCCAUUAUUAUAUGAUUCUCAACUCUCCUUUUAAGCACCCGGAAGACCAGCAUUAUACUCAAUGUCAUCUUUCACAUGGUCAUCAACCCAAACUAACUUUCAUUAUACCUCUAUUGAACAAUGAUAAUCUUACAGAUAAUAUUUUAUUAUAAAACAAUAAAAAAUUUUUUCCUUUAGUUACGUGUUAAACAUAUAUUUUAUAUAAGCACUUGUCAAAUUUUUGAAAUUUUAAUUCUUUAUAUAUUGUAUAGGGAUAGAUAAUUUAAUAAAAAAUAUGUUCAAUACAUGUAAUUAAGAAUAAUGCUUCGAUAAAGAUUGCACUCUUUUAAUUAUCUGGCAAGUGCCCAAAAGUUUGAAAAGUCGACGAUGAAUCUAUCAGAUUUAUGAACAAUGGACUUGUAAUAUCGAUUGAAUGAAUUAUGAGACCACCUUCUGGGCACCAAAGGACCACAUUAAUUAAUUGUCACUGGAACUAUAUUUUUUACUUCUUUUAAAAGAUAUUUUUCACUUAGUUUUAUAACUUUCUACUUACCCAGUUCUAUUUACCGUGAUUAGUACUCACUAUCAUUAUAAUUAUCAGUCAAGUUUGGUAAAAGAAAUUAUUCAAGUCUAAAUGUCUUAUAGGUAGGGUACUUCAUACAGGUUUUUUAAAUUUUUGGCUUGACUGAUUUUAAGGAUUUUGAAGAAAUUGCUAAUUAACUUUAAC